AGGAUAAAACGCUGGCGGCGUGCAUUAGACAUGCAAGUCGAACGGACUUUUCGGGGCUUGCUCUGAAAAGUUAGUGGCGGACGGCUGAGUAACGCGUGGGUGACCUACCCCGAAGUGGGGAAUAACUGCCCGAAAGGGUGGCUAAUACCGCAUGUGAUCGUUUGUUCAUUCGAUCGAUCAAAGCAGAAAUGCGCUUCGGGAGGGGCCUGCGUCCGAUUAGCUCGUUGGUGGGUAAUGGCUCACCAAGGCGACGAUCGGUAGGUGGUCUGAGAGGACGAUCACCCAGACUGGGACUGAGACACGGCCCAGACUCCUACGGGAGGCAGCAGUCGGGAAUUUUGCUCAAUGGGCGCAAGCCUGAUCCAGCCAUGCCGCGUGAGUGAAGAAGGCCCUAGGGUUGUAAAGCUCUUUCAGCGGGGAAGAUAAUGACGGUACCCGCAGAAGAAGCCCGGCUAACUUCGUGCCAGCAGCCGC
This 474-nucleotide ribosomal RNA is filed under the name uncultured bacterium. RNAcentral's name for it is "SSU rRNA". It matches the Rfam family "Bacterial small subunit ribosomal RNA", at positions 32 to 518 of the family's 1533-position model. The record is from RNAcentral.